AAGCCCGGGGCUCAACCCCGGGUCUGCAGUGGGUACGGGCAGACUAGAGUGAUGUAGGGGAGAAUGGAAUUCCUGGUGUAGCGGUGAAAUGCGCAGAUAUCAGGAGGAACACCGAUGGCGAAGGCAGGUCUCUGGGCAUUAACUGACGCUGAGGAGCGAAAGCAUGGGGAGCGAACAGGAUUAGAUACCCUGGUAGUCCAUGCCGUAAACGUUGGGCACUAGGUGUGGGGGACAUUCCACGUUUUCCGCGCCGUAGCUAACGCAUUAAGUGCCCCGCCUGGGGAGUACGGCCGCAAGGCUAAAACUCAAAGGAAUUGACGGGGGCCCGCACAAGCGGCGGAGCAUGCGGAUUAAUUCGAUGCAACGCGAAGAACCUUACCAAGACUUGACAUGAACCGGAAAGGCCUGGAAACAGGUCCCCCACUUGUGGCCGGUUUACAGGUGGUGCAUGGUUGUCGUCAGCUCGUGUCGUGAGAUGUUGGGUUAAGUCCCGCAACGAGCGCAACCCUCGUUCUAUGUUGCCAGCGCGUAAUGGCGGGGACUCAUAGGAGACUGCCGGGGUCAACUCGGAGGAAGGUGGGGACGACGUCAAAUCAUCAUGCCCCUUAUGUCUUGGGCUUCACGCAUGCUACAAUGGCCGGUACAAAGGGUUGCGAUACUGUGAGGUGGAGCUAAUCCCAAAAAGCCGGUCUCAGUUCGGAUUGAGGUCUGCAACUCGACCUCAUGAAGUUGGAGUCGCUAGUAAUCGCAGAUCAGCAACGCUGCGGUGAAUACGUUCCCGGGCCUUGU
This 789-nucleotide ribosomal RNA is filed under the name Arthrobacter sp. UYP15. RNAcentral's name for it is "bacterial SSU rRNA". It matches the Rfam family "Bacterial small subunit ribosomal RNA", at positions 598 to 1384 of the family's 1533-position model. Lineage: Bacteria; Bacillati; Actinomycetota; Actinomycetes; Micrococcales; Micrococcaceae. The record is from RNAcentral.